UAUGCUUCUUUUUGAUAACUGGUAGAAAAAGGCAGAAAAUUUUAGGUUUUGAAAUGCUCUCAAAAAGCGGUCACGUAUUUCAACUUAAUGUCACUUAUAAACAACGGAAGGGAAAUUUUCAUCCUCCCCCCACCCCACUACUGACUGCAUUUGUGAAAAAUUCUUACUUUAUGACUAGAAUAACUUAAAUAAAUCUAAUUCCCUACAGUUUUUCUAACAUACAUUACAUGCAAUGUAUCUGAAUGAAAAGAAGGCUGAACUGAAGCUUUCUCUGUACUUAAGUGGUCCAGAAGCAUUAACAGUAGCAACCGAAAAGCAUUUGGUUACAAAUUGUGUCCUUGGUAAUGUUUCUGAAAGGAAACAGUUUCAUUCUGUUAAUGUUAAUUUCUAACCUGCACGUUUAAAUUUUUUAAGAAAAAUGUCUUAUGCAAGUAUUACAUGUUUGCUACCUUUCAUAUAAUACACGUUUGACUUUUUAAAAAAGUAAUAUAGAAUUAAAGUAAAAUUUUCUUUUAUUUCUAGGAAGACUAUUCACUAUGCUUAUUUAGCCACAUUUGACUACUUUAAAUCUUAACCUCUUUUUUUCUGGGGCACAAAUUACAGGGAUGUGGGAAAGUUUAGUGUAUCACUUUAAAGUUUUUUUCCAAAAUGAACUUUUAAAAAUAAAUUACUGCUGUUAUAUUUUAAUCUAUCAUUCAGCACUUACUGAGACCUUUUAUGUGGUAGGCAGUAUAAAAAGCACUGGAGAUAAGAUGACAUUUCAGAUACUCUCACUGGCCUUCAGGUUUCAGCUGUGAUUGCUACAAGUAUACAAAAGGAGUGAUGGAAAAGAAUUCUCCCCUCAGCCUGUGGUGGAGGGACUGGUCAGGAAAUGCUUCUAAGAUUAGGACAUGCGAUCCAAUUAAACAUACCUGGAGGUUGGGAGUCUUCAAUCAGGCAGUGGUAUUUAGCGCCAGUGGCUUGAGCAGAGAGUAUAUAUGGCCAUGAGGUAGGAGAUAAGAUUGGAAAUGGAGUCCAAGGGGCCUUGUCUGCCAAAGGAGGAACAAGAAGCAACAGGGAGCCAAGUAAGUAUUUUUGGCACAGCUUUAGAAGUUACAGUUGUGUUCUGUUUUGUUUUUCCCCCAAGACCAGUAUUUUCUUUUAACUGAAAGAAAAUAGGGUAGCACAGUUUAGCACAGCUAUAGAACAGAAAACACUAGAAUGUGUCAUGUGUUAAGGCCAAGUGCUGUGUAGUGAAACUUUGGUUUUAGUUGGGUUUUAGAAAAAUAACUGGCAGUAUGAAAAAUAGGACUUAUAAUAAGGUGAUCUAUUUAAAAACAGAAGUUUUGGUUUGGAUUAAAAUAUAUUUUUAAAAGGUACCACUGUGACAUUGGUAUAAUUUUAUCUUCUAUCAAUCAGUGAAGAAAAAACAAAUGCUAAAGCAAAAUACAAGGUGCUUUGCUUACAGAAGAGCAAAGUGGACUAGUUUUAAAAAAAAUAAGGAGCCCUGAUGUUCAAAGCAGUCAUGUGACAUUUCCAAGGUAAUCCAAUGUAUUAGUUUAUCAAAACUAGAAACUGUAACCAACAACAGGAAAUUUAACAAAGAAUUUACAUAAGUUGUAAAUUUGAGAAACAUUUUUAACCACUUGAAAACUUGUAUGUAAAUCUAAUAAAGAUGACUU
This is a long non-coding RNA of Phocoena sinus (vaquita), 1661 nucleotides long. The record is from Ensembl. Lineage: Eukaryota; Metazoa; Chordata; Mammalia; Artiodactyla; Phocoenidae.